Molecule: ribosomal RNA, 268 nt
Filed under: uncultured Planctomycetota bacterium
Lineage: Bacteria; Pseudomonadati; Planctomycetota
Description: uncultured planctomycete partial 16S ribosomal RNA
Rfam family: Bacterial small subunit ribosomal RNA
Source: RNAcentral
AGCACGUAGGUGGGUUUGUAAGUCAGAUGUGAAAGCCUUCUGUUCAACGGAAGAAUUGCAUCUGAAACUGCGAGUCUUGAGUGUAGGAGGGGAGAAUGGAACUUCUGGUGGAGCGGUGAAAUGCGUAGAUAUCAGAAGGAACGCCGGCGGCGAAAGCGAUUCUCUGGCCUAUUACUGACACUCAGUGUGCGAAAGCUAGGGGAGCAAACGGGAUUAGAUACCCCGGUAGUCCUAGCCGUAAACGAUGGGCACUAAGUAGAGGGGUUUU